Molecule: long non-coding RNA, 313 nt
Organism: Mauremys reevesii (Reeves's turtle)
Lineage: Eukaryota; Metazoa; Chordata; Testudines; Geoemydidae
Exons: 3
Source: RefSeq, a predicted model, not a curated record
GUUAAAGCUGUAGACAAAUAGACAUGUGCGAUCUGCCAUUUUGCUGUUGUGAGGCAGAUAAUUCAGAUGGGAUUUUCAGAGCUUGGACUAAAGCACAGGGUGACGGGUUCCACCUCAAAGGAGUCAAAGAUGACCCCAGGUUACGAAGCUGAGUGACGUGAUGGAUGAUAAUGUUGUCAACAAGAUGGAGAAAGUGCAUGGUAAGAUGAACCAUGAACAAAGCAUGAAGAUAUCAAAACCAGAAGGAAGAUGAAGUGGCCAGUUAGUGAGAGCAUAUGGCAAAAGUGAUAGUAACUGUUCUCUGAAGAUCAAC